RNAcentral lists this unclassified non-coding RNA (358 nucleotides) under soil metagenome. Its description in RNAcentral is "partial contains 5.8S ribosomal RNA, internal transcribed spacer 2, and large subunit ribosomal RNA". The stretch from base 1 to 120 matches the Rfam family "5.8S ribosomal RNA", at positions 35 to 154 of the family's 154-position model. The record is from RNAcentral.
GAUGAAGAACGUAGCGAAAUGCGAUAAGUAAUGUGAAUUGCAGAAUUCAGUGAAUCAUCGAAUCUUUGAACGCACAUUGCGCCCGUCAGUAUUCUGGCGGGCAUGCCUGUUCGAGCGUCAUUACGCGCCUCAAGUCCCCUGUGGACUUGGUGUUGGGGAUCGGCGAGGCUGGUUUUCCAGCACAGCCGUCCCUUAAAUUAAUUGGCGGUCUCGCCGUGGCCCUCCUCUGCGCAGUAGUAAAACACUCGCAACAGGAGCCCGGCGCGGUCCACUGCCGUAAAACCCCCCAACUUUUUAUAGUUGACCUCGAAUCAGGUAGGACUACCCGCUGAACUUAAGCAUAUCAAUAAGCGGAGGA